UGUCCCAUUCCUGAACCCGGAAAAUCAUCAGAAAAUCCUAAGUCCAAUAAAAUGGGGUGGGGUAUGGUCGGAAACAGAAUGCCCUGGAUCAAUAUUAUAAUUGUUCUGUCGACUUCCUUGUCACACCCCAGAGCCUGGCAAAGAAUUACACUAGGCCUAAUCGGGUGAGGUUACGGAUGACCUCAGUGACAUAACAAUUACGUAUUCUCCAAAACAGUAUAAGAGAAGUUGGACAGUUCUUGUGUACUCAUUGAUGUUUUUGUCAGAGGUUCGAUUUGUUAAUCGACGAGAUGCGUUUGUUUUGGAUUUUUUGCUUUGCCAUUGGAUUUUGGGUCGUGAAUUCGAUGGAUAACGGUGACGACGGUGAUGGUGGCGGUAAUGGUGGGCAUGGUGAUGGUGGUGACGACGGAGGUAAUAAUGGUGCGGCUAACGAAGGCCAAGAAAGGAGACAUCUUCAUGGCUACAGCUUGAAUCAGCGUUUGGACUACGUGGAUACUUUUAGGCUGCACCAUGCGAUGGGCAUUGCGCAUGCCCGGUCUUGUCGUUCUUUUGCCGUACAUCACCGCAUCCAUCCAAGGACAUUCUCAAGAUGGCUAGACCAGUAUGAAGAGAUGUCGGAACGCCGCGACAGGUGCACCCAAAUUGAGAGGAGACGGCGGAGGAUUCGGCAGCAUGGCAAUGAUGAACAAGCGUUUUGGGCAGACAUGGAAAAUCAGCUCAACGACUGGUUUAUUCAACGCCGCCAGCAUGGAAUUCCAGUAUCCGGGAUCGAUCUCCAGUCACAAGCAGCCAGAGAAUACAGACAAUGGUGGACUAAUCUGACGGAGGAACAAAGGCAGCAGACGAGAGCGCAAAGGCCUCGCAAUCAGGAUUUCCGAGCGUCAGAUCACUGGCUGACCCGAUUCAAAGAAAGAAAAAGAAUAAGCCAUCGAAGAAAGAAUAAGGACACG
This is a long non-coding RNA of Lineus longissimus, 950 nucleotides long. RefSeq lists it as uncharacterized. NCBI's taxonomy places the organism in Eukaryota, Metazoa, Nemertea, Pilidiophora, Heteronemertea, Lineidae. The record is from RefSeq and is a predicted model, not a curated record. The transcript has 3 exons.